Molecule: ribosomal RNA, 448 nt
Filed under: Araneus acusisetus
Lineage: Eukaryota; Metazoa; Arthropoda; Arachnida; Araneae; Araneidae
Description: partial 16S ribosomal RNA
Rfam family: Bacterial large subunit ribosomal RNA
Source: RNAcentral
UAUGAGUUUCCUGCUCAUGAAACUUAAAUAGCCGCGGAAAUUUAACCGUGCUAAGGUAGCAUAAUCAUUAGCCUCUUAAUUAGAGGCUCGUAUGAACGGUAAAACAUAUUAGUUACUUUAUUAAUAUUUAAUAUUCAAUUUAAACUAAGAAUUAAAAUGUUCUUAUUUAUUAAUUAGACGACAAGACCCUUUUGAACUUUACUUAAGUUUUGCUGGGGUAGCAAUAAAAAAAUAAUCUUUUAUUAAUUUUUUAUAUAAGUGUUCCAAUAACAUUGAUUUUAUGAACAAGUUACCAUAGGGAUAACAGCGUAAUAUUUUUUUAAAGUUCUUAUAUAAAAAAAUGAUUGCGACCUCGAUGUUGAAUUAGUGUAACUUAUUAGAUGCAAUAAUUUUAAAAGUAGGUCUGUUCGACCUUCAAAACACUACAUGAUCUGAGUUCCAAACCGGA